UGGUUAUCAGCUAUCAUAGAAUGGUGUCAAUGUGGUAUUGGCAUAUAUAUUCCAGAAUUUGAAAAAGGAUAUGGAUAUAGAGUGGGUGACUUUAUCAGUAUACUCAAUCGAGAUGGCCACAAUAAUAACCGCUCUUAGAUGGGUUGUAGAUACUAAGUUUGUGACAAUGUGGUAUUGGCAUAUAUAUGCCAGAAUUUGAAAAAGGAUAUGGAUAUAGAGUGGGUGACUUUAUCAGUAUACUCAAUCGAGAUGGCCACAAUAAUAACCGCUCUUAGAUGGGUUGUAGAUACUAAGUUUGUGACAAUGUGGUAUUGGCAUAUAUAUGCCAGAAUUUGAAAAAGGAUAUGGAUAUAGAGUGGGUGACUUUAUCAGUAUACUCAAUCGAGAUGGCCACAAUAAUAACCGCUCUUAGAUGGGUUGUAGAUACUAAGUUUUAUAACAGAUAAUUCAAUACGUGAAGAUUUGGUGAUAGAGGUAAAGCAUCUUCUUUUAAAUAUUAUAAGCCUUGGUUUAGUUAUUCAGUUCUGUUGGAUUCCAGCCCACCAUGGAAUAUAUGGCAAUGAAAUUGCUGAUAAAUUAGCUAAAAGAUACUAACCUAAUUAGAAGAAUUUAACCUUAAGUAUAUAUAUUUUUUUAUUUUAUUUUUUAUUUAUUCAUUUCUUUGUUAGUUUGUUUUAUUUUGUUUCGUUAGUUUUUUUUUUUUUUUUUACGAUUUAAAGUAUCAUUUGCCAACGUCCUUGUCACAAACUCCUGUGUAGUAGUCAAGUGGGUGGCGGUAUAUGGGGAAAAACUAUGAUCCACCACUAAACUAGAAGAAGAAGAAGAUCUCUGCAUCCGGUACGUCACGGAAUAGGUCACGUGUCUUGGCCCCAUAACGCGGAAGCAAAUCGCUCCUGUAUGUUACCAUGCGCCACUGAGCAGUUUGCAUAGGAAUGAAUGGGCGGCCAUUUUCCAGUCCGUGGUCCAUCCUUUAUUAUGUCCAUGGAUAAAACCCCGUUGGCUCCCAUUCAUUCUGGACUCGCCUACGAGCGCCCCGCGUGGUCAAAGAUUAUUACUGCAACCAGUCCAGAAAACCGGAACUAACCCGCGAGUGCCAGUUCUCCUCAUAUUAGACAUUCUCUGCUACGAAUAUUAGACAU
This 1139-nucleotide long non-coding RNA is filed under the name Gadus morhua (Atlantic cod). RNAcentral describes it as "lncRNA (ENSGMOG00000028243.1)". Lineage: Eukaryota; Metazoa; Chordata; Actinopteri; Gadiformes; Gadidae. The record is from RNAcentral.